UACGUAGGGCGCGAGCGUUGUCCGGAAUUAUUGGGCGUAAAGAGCUCGUAGGCGGUUCGUUAUGUCGGAUGUGAAAGCCCUUGGCUUAACCGAGGAAGUGCAUCCGAAACUGGCGAGCUAGAGUACUAAAGAGGAUCGCGGAAUUCCCGGUGUAGAGGUGAAAUUCGUAGAUAUCGGGAGGAACACCGGUGGCGAAGGCGGCGAUCUGGGUAGAUACUGACGCUGAGGUGCGAAAGCGUGGGGAGCAAACAGG
RNAcentral lists this ribosomal RNA (253 nucleotides) under uncultured bacterium. RNAcentral describes it as "partial 16S ribosomal RNA". It matches the Rfam family "Bacterial small subunit ribosomal RNA", at positions 524 to 776 of the family's 1533-position model. The record is from RNAcentral.